CCGAAAUGCACGUUUGGAUUUUCGCGCUCUGUGGCCUUAUAUGCCAACUACUCCUAAUGGAAGCUCGAGCCACUUUAUUUAGUAUUACUAAGAACUGCAUCGAAGGAGAAGUUUUGACUUUUCACAAGCAUUGUCGCAAGUUAAGUGGCAUAAGAUGUUUGUUAUUCCCAGCUGUUUAUACAUUAAUAAAAUUGUUGCGGGUGGAAUUCUAAACACUCCGUUGUGAUAAGUUAUUCUCCACGAAUAUAAAUAAAUAAGAAGCUUCGGUAACUUUAUCCCAACAUAUUGUUCCUCGAGCAAGAUGCAAUCCCUACUAUAAGGAUAUAGUCUGGCCACCGUAAUUACACCAAAAGCAGUGAACUCUCUUACCAAACGCCAAAUUGCAUUUGCAAUUCAGGUCGAUUCCCUGAAAUUGCGAUUCAAAAAUGCCACCCCUACAUUUGAAAACUAAACCCAAGUGCGCGGCUGUGAUGAAAAGAUGAAAAGUGCAUCCAAGAGGUGGAUGUGUGUUUGCAUACGAGUGGCAAAUUCAAUUUGGCCAACUCCCUGGAAAGCCGCAGGCCAACUCUCAAGCUCAAGGCCCACUCAAUGAGUUUCAACUAAUUGCCAGGUGAGGAGAGGCGAAAUAAAUCAGAAUGAAAAUAUUUCCAUUUCGAGGUUGCUACUGCUGCUGCUAGUGCCACUGCUGCUGGGAUUUUUCUCGCCUGAAAGCAGCGCAACACAUUUCCACACAGCACCAUCCGAGUAGCCCGACUUUUCCGGGGAAAACAAUGAAAUUUUUACUGUUUUAGCGAGAAUUCCACUGCUCUACGGCCAUUUGCAAGGGGUGGGGGGAUGGUGUUUUGGCGCCGGGGACGGCCAAUCCGCCGGACAGCCGGUUGAACAUAAUGAAGUCCAGUCCCCGGAUCUCUGUUCUCACUGCCACUCUCUGUUCUAGUCAGUUCGGUUCGUUUGGGUUCGGCAACAUGGCCACGUUAAAUGGAAACGGACGGAUACGGCCCGGUUUUAUCGAAUUAGGAAGCACCCUUUUAGGUCGGUGGUUCCAAAGUGUAAAGUCAUUAAAUCUAAAAAAAAACUGGAUAAAU
Molecule: long non-coding RNA, 1085 nt
Organism: Drosophila santomea
Lineage: Eukaryota; Metazoa; Arthropoda; Insecta; Diptera; Drosophilidae
Exons: 3
Source: RefSeq, a predicted model, not a curated record